ACGCUAAAGCUCGAAAGUGCGGGUAUCGAACAGGAUUAGAUACCCUGGUAGUCCGCACGGUAAACGAUGGAUGCCCGCUGUUGGCGAUACAAUGUCAGCGGCCAAGCGAAAGCGUUAAGCAUCCCACCUGGGGAGUACGCCGGCAACGGUGAAACCCAAAGGAAUUGACGGGGGCCCGCACAAGCGGAGGAACAUGUGGUUUAAUUCGAUGAUACGCGAGGAACCUUACCCGGGCUUGAACUGCCGGCGAACGAUACAGAGAUGUUGAGGCCCUUCGGGGCGCCGGCGGAGGUGCUGCAUGGUUGUCGUCAGCUCGUGCCGUGAGGUGUCGGCUUAAGUGCCAUAACGAGCGCAACCCCUCUCCGUAGUUGCCAUCGGGUGAUGCCGGGCACUCUGCGGACACUGCCACCGUAAGGUGUGAGGAAGGUGGGGAUGACGUCAAAUCAGCAUGGCCCUUACGUCCGGGGCUACACACGUGUUACAAUGGGUGGUACAGAGGGCAGGCGUCCGGCAACGUCCGUCUAAUCCCGAAAGCCAUCCUCAGUUCGGACUGGGGUCUGCAACCCGACCCCACGAAGCUGGAUUCGCUAGUAAUCGCGC
Molecule: ribosomal RNA, 600 nt
Filed under: uncultured bacterium
Lineage: Bacteria
Description: bacterial SSU rRNA
Rfam family: Bacterial small subunit ribosomal RNA
Source: RNAcentral